Molecule: ribosomal RNA, 510 nt
Filed under: Dacus humeralis
Lineage: Eukaryota; Metazoa; Arthropoda; Insecta; Diptera; Tephritidae
Description: partial 16S ribosomal RNA
Rfam family: Bacterial large subunit ribosomal RNA (bases 386-510)
Source: RNAcentral
GUCUUUUUGAGUUAUUUUUAAAGUCUGACCUGCCCACUGAAUUUUAAAUGGCCGCAGUAUUCUAACUGUGCAAAGGUAGCAUAAUCAUUAGUCUUUUAAUUGAAGGCUGGUAUGAACGGUUGGACGAGGUAUAAGCUGUUUCAUAUAAAUUUAUAUUAGAAUUUUAUAUUUUAGUUAAAAAGCUAAAAUUUAGUUAAAAGACGAGAAGACCCUAUAAAUCUUUAUAUUUUGUUUAAUUUAAAUUUUUUUGAUUUGUUUUAUUUUUAUUAUAUUAAAUAUUUUGUUGGGGUGAUGUUAAAAUUUAAUGAACUUUUAAUUGUUUUAAAUCAUUAAUUUAUGAAUUAUUGAUCCAUUAAUAGUGAUUAUAAGAUUAAGUUACUUUAGGGAUAACAGCGUAAUUUUUUUGGAGAGUUCUUAUCGAUAAAAAAGUUUGCGACCUCGAUGUUGGAUUAAGAUAUAAUUUUAGGUGUAGUCGCUUAAAUUUUAAGUCUGUUCGACUUUUAAAUUCUU